Poeciliopsis prolifica (blackstripe livebearer) is the source of this 382-nucleotide long non-coding RNA. RefSeq lists it as uncharacterized. NCBI's taxonomy places the organism in Eukaryota, Metazoa, Chordata, Actinopteri, Cyprinodontiformes, Poeciliidae. The transcript has 3 exons. The record is from RefSeq and is a predicted model, not a curated record.
CCAUCCACUGCAGGACACUCAGGAGAAACGUCACAGGGCCAUUAGCAGAACCUGCGGAGAUUCUGUUCAUCAGCAAACAUGCAGCAUGUCCUCUGUUGUCCCUCGGGGCCGUCGGCCCCGGACAGCACUGCUGACAUUUAGCGUCGCCCCAGUGGCAGCGGGUCAAGGGCUGCUGCUCAAAACGAUGACAUAUCGGACACAAAAGGGACAACAAUGUGCAGGAGGCUGCAGUUAGCCGGACUGGCAGCUACAUUUACUCUGAUUCCAAACACCUGGAUGCACAGAAAGGAGCCGCUUCUGUCAUCUGGUGCCAAACGCAACAGAUGUUGUUAGUUCGUACGCCAGUCACGAAGCCGGAGCAGACGGUGGAGGUUGGCAGCAG